GAAUAUUGGAUAAUGGGGGCAACCAUGAUACAGCCAUACCGCGCGUGUGAAGAAGGUCUUCGGACAGUUAAGCACUUUAAGUUGGGAAUAAGGGCUUUAGGUUAAUACCAUGAAGUGUAGACGUUAAUAACAUAAUCAGCUCCUUCUAACUCUGUGCCAGCAUCCGCGGUAAUACAGAGGGUGGAAGCGUUAAACGGAAUUACUGGGCGUAAAGCGCGAGUAGGUUGUUCAGUAAGAUGGGUAUGAAGUCCCCGGGCUUAACCUGGGAACUGCUUUCAUAACUGCUGAGCUAGAGUACGAUAGAGGAUAAUAGAAUUUCCUGUGUAGCGGUGAAAUGCGUAGAUAUAGGAAGGAACACCAGUGGCGAAGGCGACUACCUGGACUGAUACUGACACUGAGGUGCGAAAGCGUGGGGAGCAAAC
Molecule: ribosomal RNA, 422 nt
Filed under: uncultured bacterium
Lineage: Bacteria
Description: partial 16S ribosomal RNA
Rfam family: Bacterial small subunit ribosomal RNA
Source: RNAcentral